Molecule: transfer RNA, 73 nt
Filed under: Stegodyphus mimosarum
Lineage: Eukaryota; Metazoa; Arthropoda; Arachnida; Araneae; Eresidae
Rfam family: tRNA
About the family: Transfer RNA (tRNA) molecules are approximately 80 nucleotides in length. Their secondary structure includes four short double-helical elements and three loops (D, anti-codon, and T loops).
Source: Rfam by way of RNAcentral
GACUUCGUGGUGUAACGGUCAGCGCACUCGGCGCGUACUCGAGAGGUCCGAGGUUCGAGUCCUGGCGAGGGCA